Ribosomal RNA from Microcebus murinus (gray mouse lemur), 116 nucleotides. The record is from Ensembl. Lineage: Eukaryota; Metazoa; Chordata; Mammalia; Primates; Cheirogaleidae.
UCUACAGCCAUACCACCCUGAACAUGCCCAAUCUCCUCUUAACUUGAAAGGUAAGCAGGGUUGACCUUGGUUAGUACUUGGAUGGGAGUACUACUAGCUAAUAUGUAUUGAUAGAA